AACAUUAAGAAAGAGAUUCUGUAUUUUCAUUUCUUAUCUGCCCUACAAAAAAUGAUGAAUAAGAAUUAACGGGCACUGAAGUGUAGUAAAAAUUGAAAAUUCCUUUGAAUUGUUACACGGGCACUGUAAUAAAGUCUUAUAUCGCCAUUGAAUAUAAGAUCCUGAGACUACCAAGAUCUUAAAUGGAAUGUGGAAUAACCUCAUGAGGCAAUCGAAACAGAAAGCUGCGUUCUAUACAUGUAUUAUGUAAACAUCAUAUAAAAUCACAGACUUAUACAUGUUAAAGGAGACCUGGCCUGUGGAAGUGAAAGCAUCCAUAUUUAUCAAAACAAAGAAACGCCAUUGCUUACAAAGGACUAAGAUAUAUUGGUAUUCGUGAAAAUAAUAAUGGACAAAUUAAGCAGCCUCAUGUCUGUUGCUUCUGGCAUGGCUGAACUACUGGGGACAUCUGGUGAAGCACA
Molecule: long non-coding RNA, 461 nt
Organism: Saccostrea cuccullata (small rock oyster)
Lineage: Eukaryota; Metazoa; Mollusca; Bivalvia; Ostreida; Ostreidae
Exons: 3
Source: RefSeq, a predicted model, not a curated record